UACGAAGGGAGCUAGCGUUGUUCGGAAUCGCUGGGCGUAAAGCGCACGUAGGCGGAUUUGUCAGUCAGGGGUGAAAUCCCGGGGCUCAACCUCGGAACUGCCUUUGAUACAGCAAGUCUUGAGUUCGAGAGAGGUGGGUGGAAUUCCUAGUGUAGAGGCGAAAUUCGUAGAUAUUAGGAAGAACACCGGUGGCGAAGGCGGCCCACUGGCUCGAUACUGACGCUGAGGUGCGAAAGCGUGGGGAGCAAACGGG
RNAcentral lists this ribosomal RNA (253 nucleotides) under uncultured bacterium. Its description in RNAcentral is "partial 16S ribosomal RNA". It matches the Rfam family "Bacterial small subunit ribosomal RNA", at positions 524 to 776 of the family's 1533-position model. The record is from RNAcentral.